ACACGACGCUCUUCUGAUCUAUCUAGCGUAUUGAAAUGAUGCGCUACAGCAUAUGACACGGUUCCAGGUUGUCGUUCCAACGGGACAUCCUGAUAACACGU
Melitaea cinxia (Glanville fritillary) is the source of this 101-nucleotide long non-coding RNA. RefSeq lists it as uncharacterized. The transcript has 4 exons. Lineage: Eukaryota; Metazoa; Arthropoda; Insecta; Lepidoptera; Nymphalidae. The record is from RefSeq and is a predicted model, not a curated record.